RNAcentral lists this ribosomal RNA (249 nucleotides) under Staphylococcus aureus. RNAcentral describes it as "partial 23S ribosomal RNA". It matches the Rfam family "Bacterial large subunit ribosomal RNA", at positions 1199 to 1452 of the family's 2925-position model. Lineage: Bacteria; Bacillati; Bacillota; Bacilli; Caryophanales; Staphylococcaceae. The record is from RNAcentral.
GCUGUGGAUUGUCCUUUGGACAAUGGUAGGAGAGCGUUCUAAGGGCGUUGAAGCAUGAUCGUAAGGACAUGUGGAGCGCUUAGAAGUGAGAAUGCCGGUGUGAGUAGCGAAAGACGGGUGAGAAUCCCGUCCACCGAUUGACUAAGGUUUCCAGAGGAAGGCUCGUCCGCUCUGGGUUAGUCGGGUCCUAAGCUGAGGCCGACAGGCGUAGGCGAUGGAUAACAGGUUGAUAUUCCUGUACCACCUAUA